AUUGAACGCUGGCGGCAGGCCUAACACAUGCAAGUCGAGCGGCAGCAGGGCAAGAGCUGCUGAUUACGGGUGGCGAGGGGCGGAAGGGUGCGGAACAUAUCCGAAGCUGCGUGUUAUCGCGGCAGAACGUGGGCAAACAUACCCUAUGACCGCAGACUGCCUACGGGGGAAAGCAGGGGAACUUCGGCCCUCGCGCGAUUGAAGGAGCCGAUGUCGGAUUAGCUAGUUGGCGGGGUAAAGGCCCACCAAGGCGACGAUCCGUAGCUGGUCUGAGAGGACGAUCAGCCACACUGGAACUGAGACACGGUCCAGACUCCUACGGGAGGCAGCAGUGGGGAAUAUUGGACAAUGGGCGCAAGCCUGAUCCAGCCAUGCCGCGUGGGUGAAGAAGGCCUUCGGGUUGUAAAGCCCUUUUGGUGGGAAAGAAAAGCAGUAAGUUAAUACCGCGCUGUUCUGACGGUACCUACAGAAUAAGCACCGGCUAACUUCGUG
Molecule: ribosomal RNA, 492 nt
Filed under: uncultured bacterium
Lineage: Bacteria
Description: partial 16S ribosomal RNA
Rfam family: Bacterial small subunit ribosomal RNA
Source: RNAcentral